UAAAUGUAAAUUCACUUAGGAAUUGGCUUAAUUUCCUAAACUUGUAAUUGUGUCCUCGUUGUGUAGAUUUAGGCCUAGUUUUUAGGCAAAUUAGCUUGGGUUACAAGACUUAUCCAGAUUGAGCAGAUCAAGGGUUGACUAUGUCUACAAGGUCCUUUUCAGGAGCAAGCUCUACCAGUCUCCUAUUUGCCUUUUUUCCAUGGAAGAAUCUGAAUCCAUUGAGCAUACAAUCUUCCUUUGCCCUUGGGCUGCCAGAGUGGGGUUUUCCACUUGUAUUGCUUACAGACCUCUGCCUAAAGCUUUUACUUCGUUGGAUAGGUGGAUUAAUGAUCUUUGGUUGUGUGAGACCUUUAAUUCGGAGGAGAGAAAUGAUGGAUUAUAACUCAUUUUGCCUUUACUAGCUCGGCUAUUUGGAAAACUCGUUGUAAUUUGGUGUAUGACAAAUCAAAUUUCUGCCCACCAUCGCCAGAGCUCAAGGCCUCAUUGGCUGAUAGAAGUGUUGUGGAAUUCCUAUCACAUAUGAGAUUGAAAGAUGAUAGAAACCAUUUCAACACUCCACCUUUAGACAGUCAUCUGUGGGUCAAUCCUCUGGUGGGGACUGUCAAAAAUUAACUGUGUCGAUGCUUGGGACAAAGUUACGAAUGCAGGCUCUGCAGGGGUAGUGAUAAAGGGAUCAUACUGGUAAUCUGCUUGACGGCAGUGCGCAUUGUUUUUAGUCAUCACCAGUUGUGCAGGCUCAGUGUCAUGCGAUCCGAAGUGGAUUAGAGCUGGUCCAUGUAAGAGGUUUCACUAAUGUUAUUGUGGAAACUGAUUUCAAGGUUUGUUUUGCUGCUGUCCAGGGGGAUAUUUCUGUCUAAAAUUGGACUCUUUACCCUCUAUGACAUUAGAAUGCUAAAAGCUUCAUUCUCCUCUCUCUGGUGGACAUGGACUCCUCAAGAUGCGAACCAUGCAGCUGACUGGGUGGCUUCGCAAGCAAGAAGGGGGUUGUGCGCUGAGGCUUGGGUCAUUCGACCUCCAAUCACCCUGGUCUUCAUACUUUCACGGGAUGGUUUACCUUGCCCACCGAACUUGACGCUUUCUAAGCUUUCUUCUUUCAGUUUUUUGUCGUUGCUUUGUUUACUGUUUUGUGACUGGCCUCUCUGGUUGGUCUUUGUUGUUUGUAGCCCUUGACUGUUGUGUUAUUCUUCUUAAUAUAAUACUCCUUUUACCU
Molecule: non-coding RNA, 1210 nt
Organism: Prunus avium (sweet cherry)
Lineage: Eukaryota; Viridiplantae; Streptophyta; Magnoliopsida; Rosales; Rosaceae
Source: RefSeq, a predicted model, not a curated record